AUAUGCAGGAAUAAACCACACAUUUGAAAAAUUCUACACUGUCACACUUACACCACGUCAUUAAUAAGAAGCCAAUCAUAUAUUCUUUUUUUCGAAUAAAAGUAAAAUAAAAAUAUUCUUUUAUAAUCAUGAUGAAACAUAUAUCUCUAAAAAAAAACACAAUUCGAUUGGCUUAUUACGUCACUUCACCAAUAUACCCGUUGCAUUUUAAAAUUUUUCCACGCUUUUAACCUCCACCUGUCGGUGCGUGGUUAAAGCGGGCGCAUUUCGACCGUCCGAUUUGUGAGCCCCCGUGAUUCGAAGGUCUCAAUCAGAGCCGUUCGAUGAGCGGCCGGAUUUCGCCCAGAUGGCACAUCAGCGGGGAGCUUCCGUCCGGCGCGCCGAAAGGCAGUUGCGUCUUUUUACCCGUCUCCAGAAUAUUCGCCCAAAUAUUCCGUACUCAAAUCGCACUCGCCCUUCUCCAAAAUAAUUAAUAAUUAAUAAUAAUAAGAAUAAUAAUAAUAAUUCCACCCUUCAUUACCAAACUUUUCGUCCUUUCUCAGCAUAUUUUUUAAGCUUAUCCGUAUGCUUCACACUAUAAAAUAAAUCUUUUUUUCGAUUCCAAAUAUGAAAUCUACUUGCUUCAUAUUUCUAUCCAAAUUUAGUUUAAAAAUAAAUAAACAAAACGAAUAAUUAACUUGAUAUUUUUUUCUCUUUCAAUUUUUUUUUCCAACGAAUAUUUUUUUUACUCCUAACCUACACAUUAGUAAGAUACAACCUCCUUACUUUUUAGAUCGACUAU
Molecule: long non-coding RNA, 781 nt
Filed under: Ananas comosus (pineapple)
Lineage: Eukaryota; Viridiplantae; Streptophyta; Magnoliopsida; Poales; Bromeliaceae
Description: long non-coding RNA (ACOM_LNC006143)
Source: RNAcentral